CUACGAGGUAUUAAUUGAAGCAAUGAAGUAUGGUUUACUCGUAUCAAAGUGUUUCGUAAGGAGUUGUAACUCUAGUUUACAAAAAACUAUGGAUGUAUACUACUAUAUCUAUAUAUCUAUAUAAAACAUUUCAUAUGUACAAAAUAGUAAUUUAACAUCAAUUUUUUAAGAUGGCAUACUAAAAGUCUCAAACAAAACCCUAUAUUUUUACAUUUUUCUCCCCAUUCUACCCUGCUCUCCCUAAAUCCCCCUAUCAGAUAUGAAACCGUCCUUUGAAAUUGAAUGUUAUCAUCAAUUUCUUCAACUCAAUCGUUCUCUUCAAUGCGAUAAUAAUUAGAUUCUUCAAUAUAAUCGUUCCUCCGCUCAUCCCAAAUCAUGCCUUGUUUCACUAAUUAAUUCAUUCCCGCUCGCUCCCAUUUCUACCCCUGCUCUCUUUUCAUCGCUCAACACACACCUGCGACAUCAUCCAUUAUCAGUUGCAAGACCUCAAUUCCAUUCAUGAGUUUAAUUUUCAAUCCAGUGAAUGCCCAAAUUAAAUCCGUUGAAACCGAUGUCUCUUUGUUUCCCUUUGAAUUGAAAGAGUGGGAGGUUAGAAGUAGAGACAGAGAAAAGUAGGGAAGCAGCUGUUGGUUUCUAAAGCAACCGAUGGUUUUAUCUAAUUCUUACUUUUUAUAUAUGUUUUUGUGUGUACUGAUGAUGCAGGGUUUUUUGAAUAUAUUCUUUUGUAGUGAUAUUUGCAAUGAUACUAGGGCUUGGUUCAAAUGUUUUCUCGGACAAGGUAGAUUCAUUGCGAAAAAAAGGAAUAGUUAAGUGAUUGAAAGCAACCACAUACUCUUUCCUGGAUGGAGUGACAAAUUGUGUUCACUUUUAAAGCAGCUUGAAACAGCAAAUAAGAGCAUUGGUAGCGUUGUUGUUGUUCUGGCUGAGAGGUAUGGAUAUAGUAAAACUUGAAUAUAGAUUCACGGGCACUUUAGUUAUAUGCAGAAGUAGUUUUGGUUUCGAAGGCACAAGCUAUAAUUGUACUCGCAGCAGAUGAAAAUGUAGAUCAGAGUAAUGCACGUGCGUUGAGGGUUGUGCUUAGCCCUACUUGAGUAAACGAGGGGCUGAGGGGUCAUGUUGUUGUUGAGAUGUCAACUCUUACAUUACCAUUUUUUGGACUGCUUUCUAUUGGUCGGCUAGGUUACGGGUCAAAACUCUUGGCAGUCUUUUAAUAAAACAAGGAAAGGCCGAAGAUGCUUUUACGUGGUUUUUCUAUAUAUUUGCUUAAUUGCUUUUAUUUCUAAAUUUAUAAUUUUUAAUUUUUUCAUAUUUUUCUCUUGGUUAAUCUUAAUUGUAGGCUUAUUUACCAAGUUAUAUGGAGAAAAUGAUCAAAGGGUUGGAAUGGACAUGUGCUCUCUACCUUACGCAAAGUGCGCAAAAGGUGCCUUAUGUCCCAAAUGGUCUUGAAAUGAUUAAGUGCACCUGGAGUUGUUGAAUCAUUUGCUCAAGUUUGUUCAGAAGUGGUGCAAUGGAUCCCUUAAUGGAUUCAUAUAUUGAGAGAAUGCAAGCAACAUGGGUAAACUUGCAAAAAUGAAUUUUGAGUCCAUACAGGUCGGUUUAAAAAAAAACUAUCAAGCUGGUGGUGGCGGUAACGGUGACGGUCCGACGAGACAUUUAUACAAAAUCACAUUUCCUUAAAAAAACUAAAACUACUGAAAAAAAUUAUAGUUUGCAGGUAAUAUUUAUGUUGAUAUGAUCGUGAUAUUUUUCUACACGCCCUUCGCUUCCGGUCCCCAGCCCCUCUAUUGGUAAACUAUGAACUCUUCAUUUUUGUUAUGUAACUAGAGAAUUGAGUAGCCAUAUUGUAGCGAGUCGUUCCCUUUUGCUGAAUAUUUACUCUAUACUUCUAAUUUGAUUUUGUUCCAACUUAUUUUGCUCCCAAAUGUGUGGAUUUUGAAAUUUAACCCGACCUUUUGUUGUUGCUGGUUUAAAAUUAACUUAUAAGUUUAAACUAUUCAAAUUUACAUGUCUGGUUGCUGGUUUAAAAUCAACUGAUAAAUUUUUACUGUUGAAAUUUACAUGUCUGGUUAUGUUGAUUAUUAGUUUAUCAUUAAUUCUUUGAUUUGGUAUCACGGCUCUUGAGGCUAGGGAAGAUCAAGGAUAGGCGAGAUGGCGUACCAAGGAGGAGGUAACCUGAAGUCGACCUUCAUUGAUAGAGUGAAGAUGUAUACGGUGGUGGGACCGCUUGCUAGCCACAUGGCUACCACCGAAUAAGCUUAGACCUCUUCGCAAAGGCAAAAGUACUGAUUUUGUUGAUUGUUUUAAUUUUCUUUAGUAAAAAAUGAAAGGUUUACUAGAUAAAUAUGCGUACAUGUAAAACAGUUGAGAAAGAUGCAGUUCCCGAUAGU
This 2387-nucleotide long non-coding RNA is filed under the name Helianthus annuus (common sunflower). RNAcentral describes it as "hypothetical non coding rna". Lineage: Eukaryota; Viridiplantae; Streptophyta; Magnoliopsida; Asterales; Asteraceae. The record is from RNAcentral.